RNAcentral lists this ribosomal RNA (497 nucleotides) under uncultured bacterium. RNAcentral's name for it is "partial 16S ribosomal RNA". It matches the Rfam family "Bacterial small subunit ribosomal RNA", at positions 28 to 507 of the family's 1533-position model. The record is from RNAcentral.
GAUGAACGCUGGCGGCGUGCCUAAUACAUGCAAGUCGAGCGAACAGAUGAGGAGCUUGCUCCUCUGACGUUAGCGGCGGACGGGUGAGUAACACGUGGAUAACCUACCUAUAAGACUGGGAUAACUUCGGGAAUCCGGAGCUAAUACCGGAUAAUAUAUUGAACCGCAUGGUUCAAUAGUGAAAGACGGUUUUGCUGUCACUUAUAGAUGGAUCCGCGCCGCAUUAGCUAGUUGGUAAGGUAACGGCUUACCAAGGCAACGAUGCGUAGCCGACCUGAGAGGGUGAUCGGCCACACUGGAACUGAGACACGGUCCAGACUCCUACGGGAGGCAGCAGUAGGGAAUCUUCCGCAAUGGGCGAAAGCCUGACGGAGCAACGCCGCGUGAGUGAUGAAGGUCUUCGGAUCGUAAAACUCUGUUAUUAGGGAAGAACAAAUGUGUAAGUAACUAUGCACGUCUUGACGGUACCUAAUCAGAAAGCCACGGCUAACUACGUG